GUCUUCCUACGGGGCGCAGCAGUGGGGAAUAUUGCACAAUGGGGGAAACCCUGAUGCAGCGACGCCGCGUGAGUGAAGAAGUAUUUCGGUAUGUAAAGCUCUAUCAGCAGGGAAGAAAUAGCGACCUUUGGGUCGCCAGACGGUACCUGACUAAGAAGCCCCGGCUAACUACGUGCCAGCAGCCGCGGUAAUACGUAGGGGGCAAGCGUUAUCCGGAUUUACUGGGUGUAAAGGGAGCGUAGACGGCAGCACAAGUCUGAAGUGAAAUGCCGGGGCUUAACCCCGGCACUGCUUU
Molecule: ribosomal RNA, 295 nt
Filed under: uncultured bacterium
Lineage: Bacteria
Description: partial 16S ribosomal RNA
Rfam family: Bacterial small subunit ribosomal RNA
Source: RNAcentral